UACGUAGGGUGCGAGCGUUGUCCGGAAUUAUUGGGCGUAAAGAGCUCGUAGGCGGUCUGUCGCGUCUGCUGUGAAAAUCCAGGGCUCAACCCUGGACCUGCAGUGGGUACGGGCAGACUAGAGUGCGGUAGGGGAGAUCGGAAUUCCUGGUGUAGCGGUGAAAUGCGCAGAUAUCAGGAGGAACACCGGUGGCGAAGGCGGAUCUCUGGGCCGUAACUGACGCUGAGGAGCGAAAGCAUGGGGAGCGAACAGG
This 253-nucleotide ribosomal RNA is filed under the name uncultured bacterium. Its description in RNAcentral is "partial 16S ribosomal RNA". It matches the Rfam family "Bacterial small subunit ribosomal RNA", at positions 524 to 776 of the family's 1533-position model. The record is from RNAcentral.